This 1137-nucleotide long non-coding RNA is filed under the name Phascolarctos cinereus (koala). RNAcentral describes it as "lncRNA (ENSPCIG00000034682.1)". The record is from RNAcentral. Lineage: Eukaryota; Metazoa; Chordata; Mammalia; Diprotodontia; Phascolarctidae.
CCCAAAUCAAUGAAAUCACAGCCCUAGUCCCUGCCCCCAUCAUUCUUUCCCCCUAACCUCUACAACAAACAAGAGUGCAUUUCCUUUUCAAAAAUAAUUUUUGCUGUUAUUCUGUACUCGGCAAACCCCAAUUAGUAUGAACAUUCCCAACUGCAAAGAGAAAGGGGAUCGUACUUGAAUGUCUAUUACAACAACUUGCUUUAACAAAACAACGUAUAACGGCUGACCAAAUUAUGGCAUAUGAAUAUGAGAGAGAACUGAGGAGGGCAAUGGUUUUAGAGAAGCCUGAGAAGACUUGUAUCAACCGAGGCAGUGAAGCGAAUAGAACCAGGAGGACAACUGCUACUGUAGCAGCAACAUUGUAAAAAUGAGCCACUUUGAAAGCCUUUAAGCUCAUUAACUCAAAAACCAACCAUGAUUCCAGAGGAUCUAAGAUGAAGGAUCUCUUGAGAGAAAGACGAUGGAGUAAUACGCAGAGGGGGAUGAACGUUUUUGGAUAUGCCCUAGAUGGGAAUUGGUUUUGCUUGACUAUGCUUAUUGGUACAGGGUUCUUUUUUGGGGGGCAGGAGGGGAAGUAGGAAGGAGAAAAAGUUUGAUAAUUAAAAAAAGUAAAUUGAAUUUUAAAAAUUACUUUAUUAGAUGUUAGUUUUAAAGAUGCCCUGCUUGUUUGUAUCUCCCUCCAAACUUCUGUCCAUUCUUUUUUCUUUAAACGUUUUGAAGAUCCCUUUUUUUCCUUUUUUUUUUUUGACCUCACUAUCAUUCACCCUGUCUCCUAACCCCACCCCAAUUAAAGCUGAACCGGAGGGUGGGAAGGCUCCUCUUUGGGGUUGUGGUGGAGAAAGCCUAGAGUCAGGAGUGGAGCCUGGAGAAGAAGAGGACACGGCUAGCCCUGGUAUUUUCCUUCAAAUUAGGGAAAGGGGCUGCAGGGGAAGGGAACUUCUGAUGAUACUGUUGCAUGGCCGUCACUCUUUACACUUUGCAUUAGUUCGUCCCAGUCUCCCCCGCAUCUUUGUAUUCAUCAUAUGCAGAGUAAGAUUACAGCAGAAUAAGAUUCAUCACAAUGGGUUACCAGAAAAUGUUGGGGUCCAGCAGCUGAGGGUCAGUGGGGUUGGGCCUGAUGUUGCAAGUGACCCGUGA